UUAAGUUCAGGGGGUAUCCCUACCUGAUCUGAGGUCAAGCUUUAAAAUAAAUCGUUCAGUUGGCAGACGACUACACAGUUGCUUUAACGAGAAUAUUACUUACUACGUCUUACAAGCUGAAAUAGUGUCGCCAAUAGCUUAAAGGAGAGAGGCAGAGCCACUUCUCCCAAUACCAAACCAAGGUUUGAUUGAUUUAUUGA
RNAcentral lists this unclassified non-coding RNA (200 nucleotides) under Ascobolus sp. RNAcentral's name for it is "partial internal transcribed spacer 2". Lineage: Eukaryota; Fungi; Ascomycota; Pezizomycetes; Pezizales; Ascobolaceae. RNAcentral also lists the same sequence under 1 other name. The record is from RNAcentral.